AGCGAACGCUGGCGGCAGGCUUAACACAUGCAAGUCGAGCGGGCCCUUCGGGGUCAGCGGCGGACGGGUGAGUAACGCGUGGGAACGUGCCUUUUGGUUCGGAAUAACCCUGGGAAACUAGGGCUAAUACCGGAUACGCCCUUUUGGGGAAAGGUUUACUGCCGGAAGAUCGGCCCGCGUCUGAUUAGCUAGUUGGUGGGGUAACGGCCUACCAAGGCGACGAUCAGUAGCUGGUCUGAGAGGAUGAUCAGCCACACUGGGACUGAGACACGGCCCAGACUCCUACGGGAGGCAGCAGAGGGGAAUAUUGGACAAUGGGCGCAAGCCUGAUCCAGCCAUGCCGCGUGAGUGAUGAAGGCCUUAGGGUUGUAAAGCUCUUUUAUCCGGGACGAUAAUGACGGUACCGGAGGAAUAAGCCCCGGCUAACUUCGUGCCAGCAGCCGCCGUAA
Molecule: ribosomal RNA, 449 nt
Filed under: uncultured bacterium
Lineage: Bacteria
Description: partial 16S ribosomal RNA
Rfam family: Bacterial small subunit ribosomal RNA
Source: RNAcentral